GCUGGCGCUGCUAUACUGCAAGUCGAGCGGACAGAAGGGAGCUUGCUCCCGGAUGUUAGCGGCGGACGGGUGAGUAACACGUGGGUAACCUGCCUGUAAGACUGGGAUAACUCCGGGAAACCGGAGCUAAUACCGGAUAGUUCCUUGAACCGCAUGGUUCAAGGAUGAAAGACGGUUUCGGCUGUCACUUACAGAUGGACCCGCGGCGCAUUAGCUAGUUGGUGGGGUAAUGGCUCACCAAGGCGACGAUGCGUAGCCGACCUGAGAGGGUGAUCGGCCACACUGGGACUGAGACACGGCCCAGACUCCUACGGGAGGCAGCAGUAGGGAAUCUUCCGCAAUGGACGAAAGUCUGACGGAGCAACGCCGCGUGAGUGAUGAAGGUUUUCGGAUCGUAAAGCUCUGUUGUUAGGGAAGAACAAGUGCGAGAGUAACUGCUCGCACCUUGACGGUACCUAACCAGAAAGCCACGGCUAACUACGUGCCAGCAGCCGCGGUAAUACGUAGGUGGCAAGCGUUGUCCGGAAUUAUUGGGCGUAAAGGGCUCGCAGGCGGUUUCUUAAGUCUGAUGUGAAAGCCCCCGGCUCAACCGGGGAGGGUCAUUGGAAACUGGGAAACUUGAGUGCAGAAGAGGAGAGUGGAAUUCCACGUGUAGCGGUGAAAUGCGUAGAGAUGUGAGGAACACCAGUGGCGAAGGCGACUCUCUGGUCUGUAACUGACGCUGAGGAGCGAAAGCGUGGGGAGCGAACAGGAUUAGAUACCCUGGUAGUCCACGCCGUAAACGAUGAGUGCUAAUGGUUAGGGGGUUUCCGCCCCUUAGUGCUGCAGCUAACGCAUUAAGCACUCCGCCUGGGGAGUACGGUCGCAAGACUGAAACUCAAAGGAAUUGACGGGGGCCCGCACAAGCGGUGGAACAUGUGGUUUAAUUCGAAGCAACGCGAAAAACCU
RNAcentral lists this ribosomal RNA (948 nucleotides) under Bacillus safensis. RNAcentral's name for it is "bacterial SSU rRNA". It matches the Rfam family "Bacterial small subunit ribosomal RNA", at positions 35 to 971 of the family's 1533-position model. Lineage: Bacteria; Bacillati; Bacillota; Bacilli; Caryophanales; Bacillaceae. The record is from RNAcentral.